Desmophyllum pertusum is the source of this 79-nucleotide non-coding RNA. The record is from the annotation of a GenBank genome assembly. NCBI's taxonomy places the organism in Eukaryota, Metazoa, Cnidaria, Anthozoa, Scleractinia, Caryophylliidae.
GUCUCCUGUAGCUCAGUGGUAGAGCGUCCGACCAGUGUCAGGAUGGUCAUACAUGUAGGUUCAACUCCUGUUGGGAAUU